GCGCAGGUCCGCUCUGUCGCCGCCGGCGCAAGCCGGGGGAGGAAAGUCCGGGCAACACAGAGCGCCACGCAAGCUAACGACUUGACAGCCGUGAGGUUGUGGGAGCGUAACAGAGAAUGACCGCCCGCCGGCGGAAGAUUCGGGACACGACGGGAUCCGUGCGAUGCCGCAGGUCUCCGGCUCCGAACGGCGGGUAAGGGUGAAAAGGCGGGGUAAGAGCCCACCGCGGAGGCAGCAAUGUCAUCCGGCCGUACGUCCCGUGGGUUGCAAGACCGUGUAUACCGGCAAUCAAGGAUGGCUCGUCCGAUGUCGGGGGGUAGGUUGCUUGAGGCGGCAGGUGACUGCCGUCGUAGAUAAAUGACAGAGACCCGGAGUCCGCUCCGGGGACAGAACCCGGCUUACAGGGCCUGCAAAGCA
Alistipes sp. CAG:268 is the source of this 417-nucleotide non-coding RNA. It matches the Rfam family "Bacterial RNase P class A". Rfam says of the family: Ribonuclease P (RNase P) is a ubiquitous endoribonuclease, found in archaea, bacteria and eukarya as well as chloroplasts and mitochondria. Its best characterised activity is the generation of mature 5'-ends of tRNAs by cleaving the 5'-leader elements of precursor-tRNAs. The record is from Rfam. NCBI's taxonomy places the organism in Bacteria, Pseudomonadati, Bacteroidota, Bacteroidia, Bacteroidales, Rikenellaceae.